CAGGAUGAACGCUGGCGGCGUGCCUAAUACAUGCAAGUCGAGCGAACAGACGAGGAGCUUGCUCCUCUGAUGUUAGCGGCGGACGGGUGAGUAACACGUGGAUAACCUACCUAUAAGACUGGGAUAACUUCGGGAAACCGGAGCUAAUACCGGAUAACAUGUUGAACCGCAUGGUUCAACAGUGAAAGACGGUCUUGCUGUCACUUAUAGAUGGAUCCGCGCCGCAUUAGCUAGUUGGUAAGGUAACGGCUUACCAAGGCAACGAUGCGUAGCCGACCUGAGAGGGUGAUCGGCCACACUGGAACUGAGACACGGUCCAGACUCCUACGGGAGGCAGCAGUAGGGAAUCUUCCGCAAUGGGCGAAAGCCUGACGGAGCAACGCCGCGUGAGUGAAGAAGGUCUUCGGAUCGUAAAACUCUGUUAUUAGGGAAGAACAAAUGUGUAAGUAACUAUGCACGUCUUGACGGUACCUAAUCAGAAAGCCACGGCUAACUACGUGCCAGCAGCCGCGGUAAUACGUAGGUGGCAAGCGUUAUCCGGAAUUAUUGGGCGUAAAGCGCGCGUAGGCGGUCUUUUAAGUCUGAUGUGAAAGCCCACGGCUCAACCGUGGAGGGUCAUUGGAAACUGGAAAACUUGAGUGCAGAAGAGGAAAGUGGAAUUCCAUGUGUAGCGGUGAAAUGCGCAGAGAUAUGGAGGAACACCAGUGGCGAAGGCGACUUUCUGGUCUGUAACUGACGCUGAUGUGCGAAAGCGUGGGGAUCAAACAGGAUUAGAUA
RNAcentral lists this ribosomal RNA (777 nucleotides) under uncultured Staphylococcus sp. RNAcentral's name for it is "bacterial SSU rRNA". It matches the Rfam family "Bacterial small subunit ribosomal RNA", at positions 25 to 784 of the family's 1533-position model. The record is from RNAcentral. Lineage: Bacteria; Bacillati; Bacillota; Bacilli; Caryophanales; Staphylococcaceae.